This 84-nucleotide transfer RNA is filed under the name Deltaproteobacteria bacterium. RNAcentral's name for it is "tRNA-Leu". It matches the Rfam family "tRNA". Rfam says of the family: Transfer RNA (tRNA) molecules are approximately 80 nucleotides in length. Their secondary structure includes four short double-helical elements and three loops (D, anti-codon, and T loops). The record is from RNAcentral. Lineage: Bacteria; Pseudomonadati; Myxococcota; Myxococcia.
GCCUGGGUGGCGGAAUUGGUAGACGCAAGGGACUUAAAAUCCCUCGGAGUUCGCUCCGUGCGGGUUCGAUUCCCGCCCUAGGCA